CUACCUUCAAGCACGGCUUGUGUGUUGAGCAUCUGUUCUUUUUUCUCAAAGGACAUGCUUGAAAUGUAGUGGCGAUGGCGAGUUUGAAGCCCGAGCGUAUGGAGCUUCGUCACACGCUGUGGUGGCCCAGCUCACCAUCUUUCUUGUCAGUUAUUAUUAAAACAUAAAUCU
RNAcentral lists this unclassified non-coding RNA (171 nucleotides) under uncultured Eurotiomycetes. RNAcentral describes it as "sequence contains ITS2". Lineage: Eukaryota; Fungi; Ascomycota; Eurotiomycetes. The record is from RNAcentral.